Non-coding RNA from Caulobacter vibrioides, 99 nucleotides. Lineage: Bacteria; Pseudomonadati; Pseudomonadota; Alphaproteobacteria; Caulobacterales; Caulobacteraceae. The record is from Rfam.
CGGAGAUCGGCGACGGACGAUGGCCUCGCCAACUUGGUCAGGGCCGGAAGGCAGCAGCCACAACGAGAUCACCCUCGGGUCGCCCGCCGGUCUCCACCU